UUACAAAAAGUCGGAGCCUCGUAAGGGGUGACGGCGUACCUUUUGUAUAAUGGGUCAGCGACUUAUAUUCAGUGGCGAGCUUAACCGAAUAGGGGAGGCGUAGCGAAAGCGAGUCUUAAUAGGGCGCUUUAGUCGCUGGGUAUAGACCCGAAACCGGGCGAUCUAUCCAUGGGCAGGUUGAAGGUUAGGUAACACUGACUGGAGGACCGAACCCA
RNAcentral lists this ribosomal RNA (215 nucleotides) under Skeletonema menzelii. RNAcentral describes it as "partial Bacterial large subunit ribosomal RNA". It matches the Rfam family "Bacterial large subunit ribosomal RNA", at positions 564 to 782 of the family's 2925-position model. The record is from RNAcentral. Lineage: Eukaryota; Bacillariophyta; Thalassiosirophyceae; Thalassiosirales; Thalassiosiraceae.